UGUCAGGGCCAGAUAGGUGUUAGGGCCAGAUAGGUGUCAGGGCCAGAUAGGUGUCAGGGCCAGAUAGGUGUCAGGGCCAGAUAGGUGUCAGGGCCAGAUAGGUGUUAGGGCCAGAUAGGUGUUAGGGCCAGAUAGGUGUCAGGGCCAGAUAGGUGUCAGGGCCAGAUAGGUGUCAGGGCCAGAUAGGUGUCAGGGCCAGAUAGGUGUCAGGGCCAGAUAGGUGUCAGGGCCAGAUAGGUGUCAGGGCCAGAUAGGUGUCAGGGCCAGAUAGGUGUUAGGGCCAGAUAGGUGUCAGGGCCAGAUAGGUGUCAGGGCCAGAUAGGUGUCAGGGCCAGAUAGGUGUCAGGGCCAGA
Molecule: long non-coding RNA, 353 nt
Organism: Oncorhynchus keta (chum salmon)
Lineage: Eukaryota; Metazoa; Chordata; Actinopteri; Salmoniformes; Salmonidae
Exons: 3
Source: RefSeq, a predicted model, not a curated record